GGGUUGUGAGGUUAAGCGACUAAGCGUACACGGUGGAUGCCCUGGCAGUCAGAGGCGAUGAAGGACGUGCUAAUCUGCGAUAAGCGUCGGUAAGGUGAUAUGAACCGUUAUAACCGGCGAUUUCCGAAUGGGGAAACCCAGUGUGAUUCGUCACACUAUCAUUAACUGAAUCCAUAGGUUAAUGAGGCGAACCGGGGGAACUGAAACAUCUAAGUACCCCGAGGAAAAGAAAUCAACCGAGAUUCCCCCAGUAGCGGCGAGCGAACGGGGAGCAGCCCAGAGCCUGAAUCAGUGUGUGUGUUAGUGGAAGCGUCUGGAAAGGCGCGCGAUACAGGGUGACAGCCCCGUACACAAAAAUGCACAUACUGUGAGCUCGAUGAGUAGGGCGGGACACGUGGUAUCCUGUCUGAAUAUGGGGGGACCAUCCUCCAAGGCUAAAUACUCCUGACUGACCGAUAGUGAACCAGUACCGUGAGGGAAAGGCGAAAAGAACCCCGGCGAGGGGAGUGAAAAAGAACCUGAAACCGUGUACGUACAAGCAGUGGGAGCACAGAGCAAUCUGUGUGACUGCGUACCUUUUGUAUAAUGGGUCAGCGACUUAUAUUCUGUAGCAAGGUUAACCGAAUAGGGGAGCCGAAGGGAAACCGAGUCUUAACUGGGCGUUAAGUUGCAGGGUAUAGACCCGAAACCCGGUGAUCUAGCCAUGGGCAGGUUGAAGGUUGGGUAACACUAACUGGAGGACCGAACCGACUAAUGUUGAAAAAUUAGCGGAUGACUUGUGGCUGGGGGUGAAAGGCCAAUCAAACCGGGAGAUAGCUGGUUCUCCCCGAAAGCUAUUUAGGUAGCGCCUCGUGAAUUCAUCUCCGGGGGUAGAGCACUGUUUCGGCAAGGGGGUCAUCCCGACUUACCAACCCGAUGCAAACUGCGAAUACCGGAGAAUGUUAUCACGGGAGACACACGGCGGGUGCUAACGUCCGUCGUGAAGAGGGAAACAACCCAGACCGCCAGCUAAGGUCCCAAAGUCAUGGUUAAGUGGGAAACGAUGUGGGAAGGCCCAGACAGCCAGGAUGUUGGCUUAGAAGCAGCCAUCAUUUAAAGAAAGCGUAAUAGCUCACUGGUCGAGUCGGCCUGCGCGGAAGAUGUAACGGGGCUAAACCAUGCACCGAAGCUGCGGCAGCGACGCUGAUGCGUUGUUGGGUAGGGGAGCGUUCUGUAAGCCUGUGAAGGUGUGCUGUGAGGCAUGCUGGAGGUAUCAGAAGUGCGAAUGCUGACAUAAGUAACGAUAAAGCGGGUGAAAAGCCCGCUCGCCGGAAGACCAAGGGUUCCUGUCCAACGUUAAUCGGGGCAGGGUGAGUCGACCCCUAAGGCGAGGCCGAAAGGCGUAGUCGAUGGGAAACAGGUUAAUAUUCCUGUACUUGGUGUUACUGCGAAGGGGGGACGGAGAAGGCUAUGUUGGCCGGGCGACGGUUGUCCCGGUUUAAGCGUGUAGGCUGGUUUUCCAGGCAAAUCCGGAAAAUCAAGGCUGAGGCGUGAUGACGAGGCACUACGGUGCUGAAGCAACAAAUGCCCUGCUUCCAGGAAAAGCCUCUAAGCAUCAGGUAACAUCAAAUCGUACCCCAAACCGACACAGGUGGUCAGGUAGAGAAUACCAAGGCGCUUGAGAGAACUCGGGUGAAGGAACUAGGCAAAAUGGUGCCGUAACUUCGGGAGAAGGCACGCUGAUAUGUAGGUGAAGUCCCUCGCGGAUGGAGCUGAAAUCAGUCGAAGAUACCAGCUGGCUGCAACUGUUUAUUAAAAACACAGCACUGUGCAAACACGAAAGUGGACGUAUACGGUGUGACGCCUGCCCGGUGCCGGAAGGUUAAUUGAUGGGGUCAGCGCAAGCGAAGCUCUUGAUCGAAGCCCCGGUAAACGGCGGCCGUAACUAUAACGGUCCUAAGGUAGCGAAAUUCCUUGUCGGGUAAGUUCCGACCUGCACGAAUGGCGUAAUGAUGGCCAGGCUGUCUCCACCCGAGACUCAGUGAAAUUGAACUCGCUGUGAAGAUGCAGUGUACCCGCGGCAAGACGGAAAGACCCCGUGAACCUUUACUAUAGCUUGACACUGAACAUUGAGCCUUGAUGUGUAGGAUAGGUGGGAGGCUUUGAAGUGUGGACGCCAGUCUGCAUGGAGCCGGCCUUGAAAUACCACCCUUUAAUGUUUGAUGUUCUAACGUUGACCCGUGAUCCGGGUUGCGGACAGUGUCUGGUGGGUAGUUUGACUGGGGCGGUCUCCUCCUAAAGAGUAACGGAGGAGCACGAAGGUUGGCUAAUCCUGGUCGGACAUCAGGAGGUUAGUGCAAUGGCAUAAGCCAGCUUGACUGCGAGCGUGACGGCGCGAGCAGGUGCGAAAGCAGGUCAUAGUGAUCCGGUGGUUCUGAAUGGAAGGGCCAUCGCUCAACGGAUAAAAGGUACUCCGGGGAUAACAGGCUGAUACCGCCCAAGAGUUCAUAUCGACGGCGGUGUUUGGCACCUCGAUGUCGGCUCAUCACAUCCUGGGGCUGAAGUAGGUCCCAAGGGUAUGGCUGUUCGCCAUUUAAAGUGGUACGCGAGCUGGGUUUAGAACGUCGUGAGACAGUUCGGUCCCUAUCUGCCGUGGGCGCUGGAGAACUGAGGGGGGCUGCUCCUAGUACGAGAGGACCGGAGUGGACGCAUCACUGGUGUUCGGGUUGUCAUGCCAAUGGCACUGCCCGGUAGCUAAAUGCGGAAGAGAUAAGUGCUGAAAGCAUCUAAGCACGAAACUUGCCCCGAGAUGAGUUCUCCCUGACUCCUUGAGAGUCCUGAAGGAACGUUGAAGACGACGACGUUGAUAGGCCGGGUGUGUAAGCGCAGCGAUGCGUUGAGCUAACCGGUACUAAUGAACCGUGAGGCUUAACCUUACAACGCCGAAGGUGUUU
This 2933-nucleotide ribosomal RNA is filed under the name Escherichia coli. RNAcentral describes it as "bacterial LSU rRNA". It matches the Rfam family "Bacterial large subunit ribosomal RNA". The record is from RNAcentral. Lineage: Bacteria; Pseudomonadati; Pseudomonadota; Gammaproteobacteria; Enterobacterales; Enterobacteriaceae.